UACGUAGGGUGCAAGCGUUGUCCGGAAUUAUUGGGCGUAAAGAGCUCGUAGGCGGUUUGUCGCGUCUGCUGUGAAAACCCGAGGCUCAACCUCGGGCCUGCAGUGGGUACGGGCAGACUAGAGUGAUGUAGGGGAGACUGGAAUUCCUGGUGUAGCGGUGAAAUGCGCAGAUAUCAGGAGGAACACCGAUGGCGAAGGCAGGUCUCUGGGCAUUAACUGACGCUGAGGAGCGAAAGCAUGGGGAGCGAACAGG
RNAcentral lists this ribosomal RNA (253 nucleotides) under uncultured bacterium. Its description in RNAcentral is "partial 16S ribosomal RNA". It matches the Rfam family "Bacterial small subunit ribosomal RNA", at positions 524 to 776 of the family's 1533-position model. The record is from RNAcentral.